Molecule: long non-coding RNA, 740 nt
Filed under: Marmota monax (woodchuck)
Lineage: Eukaryota; Metazoa; Chordata; Mammalia; Rodentia; Sciuridae
Source: RNAcentral
CAAUCACAAAACUAAUGUUCAUGUAAUAGUAUACAUGGGUUCUAGAUUAUGGUUUUUAACCUGUUUUGAUACACCUGUGUCAAUUUUGUUGAAAUAUUCACAGAAUUAAAACUUAGAACUUAAAGCGUUAAGACUAGGGUGACAGGUAGUAGUGAUAAUAAUCAUUUGACCUUCAGAGUUUUGUGGGCAGACUUGAUAACCUCACCAGUUCCAGCAGCCUUUCUUUUUACAGCCUUCCUGUUGACUCCCACAGCAACUGUCUUAUAUCAUGAAAAACAAAACCACCCAGAAGAGGAUAGUCAGAGAAGCUCUCAACAGACAUGGGUUUGCCAGGCCCCUCCCCUUAUAAACAAUGCUAGUAUCACCAGAUUUCAAGAAAUUGGGGCCAUCCUGUAGAUUCUAACCAGAUGGUGAUCAGAAGCAGUGUAAACCAUCUAGACAGGGACAUAACUAUCGCUCAUUUGUGUUGAUUCAAGAUAAUCAGCUGAUCAGUAAAGCUAACUGCUUCCAUUGGUGGGUCGUUUUUUUGCUGUCACCAUCAACAUUGCCAUGACUGACAUCUUGAUAGACAAGUUCUUAACUUUGAAGCCUAUGUUGUUCAUAGGAAGAGCUUCACUCAAAGCUUCACUGUGCAUUUCUACUGACUUUACUUCAGUUAUGGUGUUAAAUGGAGCAGAGGGGACCAGCAUGCCAGAUUUGAAAACAGUUUUAAACCUUCAUUUGCAUACACACACACACAC